This 247-nucleotide ribosomal RNA is filed under the name uncultured bacterium. Its description in RNAcentral is "partial 16S ribosomal RNA". It matches the Rfam family "Bacterial small subunit ribosomal RNA", at positions 796 to 1041 of the family's 1533-position model. The record is from RNAcentral.
CACGCCGUAAACGAUGGGUGCUAGGUGUGGGAGGUAUCGACCCCUUCCGUGCCAUAGCUAACGCAAUAAGCACCCCGCCUGGGGAGUACGGUCGCAAGACUGAAACUCAAAGGAAUUGACGGGGGCCCGCACAAGCAGCGGAGCGUGUGGUUUAAUUCGACGCAACGCGAAGAACCUUACCAAGGCUUGACAUCCCUCGCUAUUCAUGGAAACAUGGAGUUCCCUUCGGGGACGAGGAGACAGGUGG